CCUACGGGUGGCAGCAGUGAGGAAUAUUGGUCAAUGGGCGCGAGCCUGAACCAGCCAAGUCGCGUGAGGGAAGACGGUCCUAUGGAUUGUAAACCUCUUUUGUCAGGGAGCAAAAGACGCCACGCGUGGCGAUCAGAGCGUGCCCGAAGAACAAGCAUCGGCGAACUCCGUGCCAGCAGCCGCGGUAAUACGGGGGAUGCGGGCGUUGUACGGAUUGAUUGGGGUAAAAGGGUGAGCAGGCGGAAUAACAAGUCAGAUGUAAAAGUGAGAGGCUCAACCGCUUCGCGCCGUUGAAACUGGUGUUCUUGAGUGAGUGAGAAGUAUGCGGAAUGCGUGGUGUAGCGGUGAAAUGCAUAGAUAUCACGCAGAACUCCGAUUGCGAGGGCAGCAUACCGGCGCUCAACUGACGCUCAUGCACGAAAGUGUGGGUAUCGAACAGGAUUAGAUACCCCUGUAGUC
Molecule: ribosomal RNA, 459 nt
Filed under: uncultured bacterium
Lineage: Bacteria
Description: partial 16S ribosomal RNA
Rfam family: Bacterial small subunit ribosomal RNA
Source: RNAcentral